Molecule: ribosomal RNA, 461 nt
Filed under: Terrahaemophilus aromaticivorans
Lineage: Bacteria; Pseudomonadati; Pseudomonadota; Gammaproteobacteria; Pasteurellales; Pasteurellaceae
Description: bacterial SSU rRNA
Rfam family: Bacterial small subunit ribosomal RNA
Source: RNAcentral
AUUGAACGCUGGCGGCAGGCUUAACACAUGCAAGUCGAACGGUAACAUAAAGAAGCUUGCUUCUUUGAUGACGAGUGGCGGACGGGUGAGUAAUGCUUGGGAAUCUGGCUUAUGGAGGGGGAUAACUACGGGAAACUGUAGCUAAUACCGCGUAGAAUCGGGAGACGAAAGUGUGGGACCUUCGGGCCACAUGCCAAAGGAUGAGCCCAAGUGGGAUUAGGUAGUUGGUGAGGUAAAGGCUCACCAAGCCGACGAUCUCUAGCUGGUCUGAGAGGAUGACCAGCCACACUGGGACUGAGACACGGCCCAGACUCCUACGGGAGGCAGCAGUGGGGAAUAUUGCGCAAUGGGGGCAACCCUGACGCAGCCAUGCCGCGUGAAUGAAGAAGGCCUUCGGGUUGUAAAGUUCUUUCGGUAGCGAGGAAGGCAUUUAGUUUAAUAUACUGGAUGAUUGACGUAAC